CACUGGUCGAGAUCUGGCGCCGCUUUCCUGAUGAGUCCAAGGCAGGACGUCAGGACGACACCAGUG
RNAcentral lists this small RNA (66 nucleotides) under Helianthus annuus (common sunflower). The record is from RNAcentral. Lineage: Eukaryota; Viridiplantae; Streptophyta; Magnoliopsida; Asterales; Asteraceae.